This 375-nucleotide ribosomal RNA is filed under the name Fastosarion sarina. Its description in RNAcentral is "partial 16S large subunit ribosomal RNA". The record is from RNAcentral. Lineage: Eukaryota; Metazoa; Mollusca; Gastropoda; Stylommatophora; Helicarionidae.
UGAUAAAAUUUAAAUGGCCGCAGUACCUUGACUGUGCUAAGGUAGCAUAAUAAAUUGACUCUUAAUUGGGGCCUUGAAUGAACGGAUAAAUGAAUAAUUUCUGUCUUAAAUAAACUUAAUAAAAAUUACUAAGAAGGUGAAAAUUCCUUUAAAUUUAUUUAAUAGACGAGAAGACCCUAGGAGUUUUAAAUUUUGUUGGGGCGACAGUAUAGCAUAAUUAAUAAACCUAUAUAAAUUAAUAUAUAUAAAACGAAUAAUUUUAAUAAUAAAUAAACUACCCUAGGGAUAACAGCAUAAUUUAUAUUUAAGUUUGUGACCUCGAUGUUGGACUAGGAACUUUUAAUAUUAAUAAUAUUAAUUGGUAGUUCUGUUCGA